Molecule: ribosomal RNA, 253 nt
Filed under: uncultured bacterium
Lineage: Bacteria
Description: partial 16S ribosomal RNA
Rfam family: Bacterial small subunit ribosomal RNA
Source: RNAcentral
UACGUAGGGUGCAAGCGUUGUCCGGAAUUAUUGGGCGUAAAGAGCUCGUAGGCGGUCUGUCGCGUCGGAUGUGAAACCUCGGGGCUCAACCCCGGGCCUGCAUUCGAUACGGGCAGACUAGAGUUCGGUAGGGGAGACGGGAAUUCCUGGUGUAGCGGUGAAAUGCGCAGAGAUCAGGAGGAACACCGGUGGCGAAGGCGGGUCUCUGGGCCGAGACUGACGCUGAGGAGCGAAAGCGUGGGGAGCGAACAGG